RNAcentral lists this ribosomal RNA (253 nucleotides) under uncultured bacterium. RNAcentral's name for it is "partial 16S ribosomal RNA". It matches the Rfam family "Bacterial small subunit ribosomal RNA", at positions 524 to 776 of the family's 1533-position model. The record is from RNAcentral.
UACGUAGGGGGCAAGCGUUGUCCGGAUUUAUUGGGCGUAAAGAGCGUGUAGGCGGCCUGACAGGUCUGCUGUGAAAACUCGAGGCUCAACCUCGAGAUGUCGGCGGAAACCGUCUGGCUAGAGUCCGGAAGAGGAGAGUGGAAUUCCUGGUGUAGCGGUGAAAUGCGCAGAUAUCAGGAGGAACACCAAUGGCGAAGGCAGCUCGCUGGGACGGUACUGACGCUGAGGCGCGAAAGCGUGGGGAGCAAACAGG